GGGCCUGAACUGUUGCUCUUACCU
RNAcentral lists this microRNA (24 nucleotides) under Heliconius melpomene (postman butterfly). RNAcentral's name for it is "Hme-Mir-87-P2_5p* (star (passenger))". Lineage: Eukaryota; Metazoa; Arthropoda; Insecta; Lepidoptera; Nymphalidae. The record is from RNAcentral.